AUACAGAGGGUGCGAGCGUUAAUCGGAAUUACUGGGCGUAAAGCGCGCGUAGGCGGCUUAUUAAGUCAGAUGUGAAAUCCCCGGGCUCAACCUGGGAACUGCAUCUGAUACUGGUAAGCUAGAGUUUUGGAGAGGGAAGUAGAAUUUCAGGUGUAGCGGUGAAAUGCAUAGAGAUCUGAAGGAAUACCAGUGGCGAAGGCGACUUCCUGGCCAAAAACUGAGGCUGAGGUGCGAAAGCGUGGGUAGCAAACGGGAUUAGAAACCCCAGUAGUCC
This 274-nucleotide ribosomal RNA is filed under the name uncultured bacterium. RNAcentral's name for it is "partial 16S ribosomal RNA". It matches the Rfam family "Bacterial small subunit ribosomal RNA", at positions 523 to 796 of the family's 1533-position model. The record is from RNAcentral.